AGAGUUUGAUCCUGGCUCAGGAUGAACGCUGGCGGCGUGCUUAACACAUGCAAGUCGAGCGAAGCACUUCGUUUUGAAUCUUCGGAGGAAGAACGGAAUGACUGAGCGGCGGACGGGUGAGUAACGCGUGGGCAACCUACCUCAUACAGGGGGAUAACAGUUAGAAAUGACUGCUAAUACCGCAUAAGACCGCGGUACCGCAUGGUACAGCGGUAAAAACUCCGGUGGUAUGAGAUGGGCCCGCGUCUGAUUAGCUAGUUGGUGAGGUAACGGCCCACCAAGGCGACGAUCAGUAGCCGACCUGAGAGGGUGACCGGCCACAUUGGGACUGAGACACGGCCCAAACUCCUACGGGAGGCAGCAGUGGGGAAUAUUGCACAAUGGGGGAAACCCUGAUGCAGCGACGCCGCGUGAGCGAUGAAGUAUUUCGGUAUGUAAAGCUCUAUCAGCAGGGAAGAAGAUGACGGUACCUGACUAAGAAGCCCCGGCUAACUACGUG
RNAcentral lists this ribosomal RNA (499 nucleotides) under uncultured Lachnospiraceae bacterium. RNAcentral describes it as "bacterial SSU rRNA". It matches the Rfam family "Bacterial small subunit ribosomal RNA", at positions 8 to 507 of the family's 1533-position model. The record is from RNAcentral. Lineage: Bacteria; Bacillati; Bacillota; Clostridia; Lachnospirales; Lachnospiraceae.